This 178-nucleotide unclassified non-coding RNA is filed under the name uncultured Ascomycota. RNAcentral describes it as "sequence contains ITS2". The record is from RNAcentral. Lineage: Eukaryota; Fungi; Ascomycota.
UACGAACCUCGAGCCCCCGGGCUCGGUCUUGGGUGGCCGUUCCCGCGUGGACGCUCCCGAAAAUCAGCGGCGGUGCGGUCGGGCCCCAGGCGUAGUAGCAGUCAAAUCUUUCGCUUUAGGUGGCCGCGGCUAGCUCACUGGCCGGUUUAAUUCGCGACCCAGGUGGGUCCUUCUCCAC